GACGAACGCUGGCGGCGUGCUUAACACAUGCAAGUCGAACGGAAAGGCCCUGCUUGCAGGGUACUCGAGUGGCGAACGGGUGAGUAACACGUGGGUGAUCUGCCCUGCACUUCGGGAUAAGCCUGGGAAACUGGGUCUAAUACCGGAUAGGAGCCAUUUUUAGUGUGAUGGUUGGAAAGUUUUUUCGGUGUAGGAUGAGCUCGCGGCCUAUCAGCUUGUUGGCGGGGUAAUGGCCUACCAAGGCGGCGACGGGUAGCCGGCCUGAGAGGGUGGACGGCCACAUUGGGACUGAGAUACGGCCCAGACUCCUACGGGAGGCAGCAGUGGGGAAUAUUGCACAAUGGGCGCAAGCCUGAUGCAGCGACGCCGCGUGGGGGAUGACGGCCUUCGGGUUGUAAACUCCUUUCGCUAGGGACGAAGCUUUUUGUGACGGUACCUAGAUAAGAAGCACCGGCUAACUACGUG
Molecule: ribosomal RNA, 465 nt
Filed under: uncultured bacterium
Lineage: Bacteria
Description: partial 16S ribosomal RNA
Rfam family: Bacterial small subunit ribosomal RNA
Source: RNAcentral